RNAcentral lists this ribosomal RNA (656 nucleotides) under uncultured Enterobacterales bacterium. RNAcentral describes it as "bacterial SSU rRNA". It matches the Rfam family "Bacterial small subunit ribosomal RNA", at positions 69 to 718 of the family's 1533-position model. The record is from RNAcentral. Lineage: Bacteria; Pseudomonadati; Pseudomonadota; Gammaproteobacteria; Enterobacterales.
CAGGAAGAAGCUUGCUUCUUUGCUGACGAGUGGCGGACGGGUGAGUAAUGUCUGGGAAACUGCCUGAUGGAGGGGGAUAACUACUGGAAACGGUAGCUAAUACCGCAUAACGUCGCAAGACCAAAGAGGGGGACCUUCGGGCCUCUUGCCAUCGGAUGUGCCCAGAUGGGAUUAGCUAGUAGUUGGGGUAACGGCUCACCUAGGCGACGAUCCCUAGCUGGUCUGAGAGGAUGACCAGCCACACUGGAACUGAGACACGGUCCAGACUCCUACGGGAGGCAGCAGUGGGGAAUAUUGCACAAUGGGCGCAAGCCUGCUGCAGCCAUGCCGCGUGUAUGAAGAAGGCCUUCGGGUUGUAAAGUACUUUCAGCGGGGAGGAAGGGAGUAAAGUUAAUACCUUUGCUCAUUGACGUUACCCGCAGAAGAAGCACCGGCUAACUCCGUGCCAGCAGCCGCGGUAAUACGGAGGGUGCAAGCGUUAAUCGGAAUUACUGGGCGUAAAGCGCACGCAGGCGGUUUGUUAAGUCAGAUGUGAAAUCCCCGGGCUCAACCUGGGAACUGCAUCUGAUACUGGCAAGCUUGAGUCUCGUAGAGGGGGGUAGAAUUCCAGGUGUAGCGGUGAAAUGCGUAGAGAUCUGGAGGAAUACCGGUGGCGA